UAUAUGCCCAUAUUUGGCUUUCGAAACAUGCCGCCAAUGGAGGUUGAGCUCAAAAACUGUGAAUUUGAUGAGGAAUGGAAAGAUGCCCACGGUGACAAUUGAGCAGGCCCAAAGGAACUUUUGCAAGGCUGUAAAAUCUGGUCUUCUUAAGAUUCUUUCAAAGAUGGGAAUUUCUUUGCUUUCCAGUUACUGUGGGGCGCAAAUAUUUGAGAUAUAUGGCUUGGGGCAAGACAUUGUUGACAUUGCUUUUUGUGGUAGCAUUUCAAAGAUAGGGGGACUAACUCUU
Long non-coding RNA from Phalaenopsis equestris, 286 nucleotides. RefSeq lists it as uncharacterized. The transcript has 3 exons. Lineage: Eukaryota; Viridiplantae; Streptophyta; Magnoliopsida; Asparagales; Orchidaceae. The record is from RefSeq and is a predicted model, not a curated record.